AAAGCGGAGGAAAAGAAACCAACAGGGAUUGCCCCAGUAGCGGCGAGUGAAGCGGCAAGAGCUCAGAUUUGAAAUCGUGUUUCGGCACGAGUUGUAGAGUGUAGGCGGGAGUCUCUGUGGAGCGCGGUGUCCAAGUCCCUUGGAACAGGGUGCCUGAGAGGGUGAGAGCCCCGUAGGGUGCUGCGCGAAGCUUUUGAGGCCCUGCUGACGAGUCGAGUUGUUUGGGAAUGCAGCUCCAAGCGGGUGGUAAAUUCCAUCUAAGGCUAAAUAUUGGCGAGAGACCGAUAGCGAACAAGUACUGUGAAGGAAAGAUGAAAAGCACUUUGAAAAGAGAGUGAAACAGCACGUGAAAUUGUUGAAAGGGAAGGGUAUUGGGCUCGACAUGGGGGGUGCGCACCGCUGUCUCUUGUAGGCGGCGCUCUGGGCGCCCUCUGGGCCAGCAUCGGUUCCUGCUGCGGGAGAAGGGGCUCCGGAAAGUGGCUCUUCGGAGUGUUAUAGCCGGGGCCAGAUGCCGCGUGUGGGGACCGAGGACUGCGGCUUCUGUCUCGGAUGCUGGCAUAACGCGCUGAC
Molecule: ribosomal RNA, 570 nt
Filed under: Pichia manshurica
Lineage: Eukaryota; Fungi; Ascomycota; Pichiomycetes; Pichiales; Pichiaceae
Description: eukaryotic LSU rRNA
Rfam family: Eukaryotic large subunit ribosomal RNA
Source: RNAcentral